RNAcentral lists this ribosomal RNA (82 nucleotides) under Bacillus subtilis. Lineage: Bacteria; Bacillati; Bacillota; Bacilli; Caryophanales; Bacillaceae. The record is from RNAcentral.
UUUGGUGGCGAUAGCGAAGAGGUCACACCCGUUCCCAUACCGAACACGGAAGUUAAGCUCUUCAGCGCCGAUGGUAGUCGUG